UAGCGUAUAUUAAAGUUGUUGCGGUUAAAAAGCUCGUAGUUGGAUUUCAGUUCUGGACUGACGGUUCACCGCCCGGUGCAUACUGUCACGCUCCGAACAAGCAUAACAGCCCGCUGGCUCGCACGGGGUGCUCUUCAUCGAGUGUCCCGCGUGGCCGGCAGAGUUUACUUUGAAAAAAUUAGAGUGCUCAAAGCAGGCUACACUUACGGCCUGAAUGCCUAUGCAUGGAAUAAUGGAAUAGGACCUCGGUUCUAUUUUGUCGGUUUUCUGAACCCGAGGUAAUGACUAAUAGGAACAGGCGGGGGCAUUCGUAUUGCGACGCU
Molecule: ribosomal RNA, 323 nt
Filed under: Hemigrapsus environmental sample
Lineage: Eukaryota; Metazoa; Arthropoda; Malacostraca; Decapoda; Varunidae
Description: SSU rRNA
Rfam family: Eukaryotic small subunit ribosomal RNA
Source: RNAcentral